CUCAUAUGUCUAGGUAGGAACCGCGUUCAGAGUUGUGGUGGCCAGUGCCUGUCCAGAGUUCUCAUUUCCAGUUUGGUUUAUCUGGUAGUCCAUGAGUUGGGAGGUCGGACUCCUACCUCUCUGCCUUUGAGGAGGUGGGAGGCCUCUGCUUGCCCCGUUUCUAUGCUCAAUUAAUUCUUCAUUGAUUAUUUCCCUUCUCAUCAUCUCUAGUAGGGCGUCAUAGGUGGUGGGGUCUUGAUUCUGCACAUCCCUCCAGAAUAGGGUGUUCAUGAUCAAGCCUCCCCUCAAUGCAGAUAGUGCUUCUCUGUUGGUGACUUGUACGCAAUAAGUCAUCUCGUCGGUGAAGCGUGAUAGGAAGUUCUUUAAGGACUCCCCAUGUGCCUGUCUCAUUUCUUGGAGACACUGGAUGGGGGCCUCUCCUUCCUUGCUCACUGCGAAUCGCUUGAAGAAUGUUGUCUUGAACUCGGGCCAGCUUCGGAUGCUCCCAAGUGGCAACCUGCUAUACCAGAUUUUAGCCGCUCCCUGAGGGUUAAGUGGAAAGCCCUGCACUUUACGGCUGGGGUGGCACCCCUCAGGCUCAUGUGAGUUUUGCUAUGUUGAGGUGCUUCUCCGGGUCACCUCUCCCGUCAUACUUUGGUAUUUUUAGCAUAACGUAGUAGCUCGGGACCUGGGCAUUCCUUAGUUCUCUUGAGAAUGGCAGGUUCUCAUCAUCAUCGUCCAAGUCACAGGACCUCUGCUGCUCAUCAGAAUUGUAGUCAUCGGCCUCGUACCUUGGUUGUUGGUGAGAGGGUCCGGG
This 796-nucleotide long non-coding RNA is filed under the name Olea europaea subsp. europaea. The record is from RNAcentral. Lineage: Eukaryota; Viridiplantae; Streptophyta; Magnoliopsida; Lamiales; Oleaceae.